GAAAUAUUUGGUCGAAAAUAAUG
RNAcentral lists this non-coding RNA (23 nucleotides) under Cricetulus griseus (Chinese hamster). Lineage: Eukaryota; Metazoa; Chordata; Mammalia; Rodentia; Cricetidae. The record is from RNAcentral.